Molecule: ribosomal RNA, 248 nt
Filed under: uncultured bacterium
Lineage: Bacteria
Description: partial 16S ribosomal RNA
Rfam family: Bacterial small subunit ribosomal RNA
Source: RNAcentral
AUACGUAGGUGGCAAGCGUUAUCCGGAUUUACUGGGCGUAAAGGGAGCGUAGGCGGAUAUUUUAAGUGGGAUGUGAAAUACCCGAGCUUAACUUGGGAGCUGCAUUCCAAACUGGAUAUCUAGAGUGCAGGAGAGGAGAAUGGAAUUCCUAGUGUAGCGGUGAAAUGCGUAGAGAUUAGGAAGAACACCAGUGGCGAAGGCGCUUCUCUGGACUGUAACUGACGCUGAGGCUCGAAAGCGUGGGGAGC